UGGGGAAUAUUGCACAAUGGGCGAAAGCCUGAUGCAGCGACGCCGCGUGAGGGAUGACGGCCUUCGGGUUGUAAACCUCUUUCAGCAGGGAAGAAGCGAAAGUGACGGUACCUGCAGAAGAAGCGCCGGCUAACUACGUGCCAGCAGCCGCGGUAAUACGUAGGGCGCAAGCGUUGUCCGGAAUUAUUGGGCGUAAAGAGCUCGUAGGCGGUUAGUCGCGUCUGCUGUGAAAACUCGAGGCUCAACCUCGGGCUUGCAGUGGGUACGGGCUGACUAGAGUGCGGUAGGGGUGACUGGAAUUCCUGGUGUAGCGGUGGAAUGCGCAGAUAUCAGGAGGAACACCGAUGGCGAAGGCAGGUCACUGGGCCGCAACUGACGCUGAGGAGCGAAAAGCAUGGGGAGCGAACAGGAUUAGAUAGCCCUGGUAGUCCAUGCCGUAAACGUUGGGCGCUAGGUGUGGGGUCCAUUCCACGGAUUCCGUGCCGCAGCAAACGCAUUAAGUGCCCCGCCUGGGGAGUACGGCCGCAAGGCUCAAAAACUUAAAAUGAAUUGACGGGGUCAUAGCUGUUUCCU
This 573-nucleotide ribosomal RNA is filed under the name uncultured bacterium. Its description in RNAcentral is "partial 16S ribosomal RNA". It matches the Rfam family "Bacterial small subunit ribosomal RNA", at positions 355 to 1375 of the family's 1533-position model. The record is from RNAcentral.